UUGAAAGCUUCUGUCUUUUUGUAGGAAUGAUCAGGACCUUAGCAGCUUGGGAAAAAGAAAAAGGUAAAAUACAUGUCAGCAUAUAUUCUCAAGAAUGUCCUAAUACUUCAUAUUCUAUGGCUGUGGGCAGCCAGGGUAGAAACUGGCUGUGUGAGAUGAAUAACUUUAGUCUCAUCUGCUUUGCUUUUCCAUUCCUUCCUUUCCAAGAAAGGAACUUUGUGAAGUAUCAGUCUCAAGUAUAGCUCCUUGAGGCACUUAAAACCAAGAGUAAAAGAGCUGCGAAAAGAAUGUUGUAGGGAAGAUUCAGUUACCUAUAAAAGAAUUAGUCAAACUUGUCAAACUCUGCUUUCUGUAACCAAAACUAAAAUUACAAUCCACUUGCACCAAGUCUUUGUUGUGUGUACUUCGGUGGUACUGACAAAUCUUUUCUUUGAGAUCUGUUUUGCCCUGUAAAUGUGCACGGAUUCUGUUAAUAGCAUCGAUAGUAAGUACAGUGUCAUCACCCCGUUAUGUGUAUAUAUGUGUUAUGAGUGAAGUUAAUCUUUCUGCAGAGUGCCUGUGGUAUAUCUGUGUUACUAAGCACAGCAGUUUGUAUUAUCAUUUUGUUUUCUUUCUUGCCCACAGUCAAGGCAUGGGCACAUUGAGUCACAGUGAUGGGAAGUAAGAGUGUCGCAUCAUUCAAGCACAACCUUUUGGACUCUCGAAGUUGGUUCCAGUCUCAUCAAGAAACAGGAACUCUUGUAAUUUGACAAGGCUUCCAAAAGCUCAUCACUUACUGUUAAGGGCAAUUUUUCGAGCACAGUGCUUGCUUUCCUGACUGAAGGAUAAUGAAAGGUAAUAGCCCAACCAUUUAGAAAAUAUCUGUUUCUUACCAGCCAUUUCUGCUUCUUAGCUGGCACAGACUUCUGGAUCUUAACUGUAAUAUUUUCAUGUUCAGAAAAAUCUGUGGCCAAGGAUGAAAAUUUUGAUUGUGCAAAAGAAAUUAGGAGUAAAGGGAAUUCCAUUUUUAAGAUGAAAGGAGGAACUGUUAAAAUGGUGGUCCUUACUGUAUACUCCUGUUCUUGUUUCUGCAAAACUUGUGAUCAAAUGCUUUGGGGAAGAGUCUGGGGCUGGAAGAGUUUGACCUUUAAUGCAUAUGUAAAUAAGACUUUCAGUCAUGUAUAAUCUCUCCCAUACAACAGACCUGUGACUGUCCAAAGGGACAGAAAGAUCACAUGAGUCUUUAUUAUAUAUCUCAAAAAAUCACAAAUCAUUCCUGUCACUGUGCAGAGUGCUGCUAAUGAACAAAUUUCAUUCCCAAAGUAGUAUCUGUGAUGGAUGUGAGGUUGUAAGGAGUCCAGUAAGUAAAGUAAAACAAGGUUACUCUAAUCUCCUCCAUAAAGCUGACAGGAAAAGAAACCAUGUAUUUAAAGUGAAAGUAGACAAAGUAGGUAACAGGCCUCUUGUAUUUCACACAUUCAUUUGUUAAUUCCAAAGUUUCUUCUUGAAUUUUAGGAGACAAAGCAAUAUCAUGAGCUAAAGUUCAAUGUAAACCAAAGCCUGAUGUAACAUGGAAAAGAGAAAGCGGAUACCAGUGGAAUGUAUUUUAAGAAGUAUGUGCCAAGAUGAUACAGAUAACUACAAUCGUGUUGUAUUCACCGAUGCCAUCUACACUGUCCCCUUGAUCAUAACUAAAGGUGGGCCCCUAACUCCUGACAGAACUGAAACCACUUAAAGACAGCAGCGUUUGAAAACCCCCUGCCAAAUAAAGUGCAAAACUUCACUUAGAAUUUCAGCAGGAAAGAGUUGAAGUUUGACGAUAAAUGUGAAAUUAUCACAUCUGAUGAUGGCUUGACCCACACUGCGAAAACUAAGAGUUUUCAGCUCAGUGACUUUGAAGAAUCCAGUGUUGAGACUGGAGAUCUAGUGCUGAACACUCUGCUCUUCAUAAAUAAUGCAAAUUAAGUAUCUUUGGGCAGUUAGUGGAUCAAACACAAGAUAGUGGAUUUGAGCUGCAAAAUCCAUAAGGCUAAAAUGCAAAACCUCAGAGACUGGGCUGAGAAAACUGGAAGCCCCAGUCUCAUAAAGCUAGUAUUUGGACUAGCAAGCAGAGGAGCAUCAGGACCUUUUCACACUGGAAGUCCCGAGCCUAGAAUAUCUGCUGCACAGAAGCCUAUGUUAUAACUUGCAAAAGCCAAUCCAUUUAUUUUGAUCUAUGAAGAGCUUACUGGUAUGUGCCGUUUUAUUCUUGACAGCCCCUUGCCCUUUUCCAGGGGUUCUAAUUCAGUUUGUCAGUAAUCUUAAGAACACCCAAGCAAAAAAGAAGGGAGAAGCCUGGCUGGAGUGUGUACCGGCUUCUGAAGAUGUCAGCCUGAAGAGGAUGAAGAACAGACGAGUGAUUGAAAGGUCUCCAAAGUACACCAUUGAAGUAUGAAGAGAAGAGAAAACAGUUUAUCAUUAAUCUGCUGAGCCGAGUGACUCAGGAGAUUAGCACAGAGGUCAUAGGCUAUGCAAGACAGUAACCCUGAUGAGCAGUGCCAGUGUAACUGUG
This is a long non-coding RNA of Neopsephotus bourkii (Bourke's parrot), 2530 nucleotides long. RefSeq lists it as uncharacterized. The transcript is spliced from 3 exons. Lineage: Eukaryota; Metazoa; Chordata; Aves; Psittaciformes; Psittacidae. The record is from RefSeq and is a predicted model, not a curated record.